Molecule: ribosomal RNA, 619 nt
Filed under: uncultured bacterium
Lineage: Bacteria
Description: bacterial SSU rRNA
Rfam family: Bacterial small subunit ribosomal RNA
Source: RNAcentral
CCUACGGGAGGCAGCAGUGGGGAAUUUUGGACAAUGGGCGCAAGCCUGAUCCAGCAAUGCCGCGUGCAGGAUGAAGGCCUUCGGGUUGUAAACUGCUUUUGUACGGAACGAAACGGUCUGCUUUAAUACAGUGGGCUAAUGACGGUACCGUAAGAAUAAGCACCGGCUAACUACGUGCCAGCAGCCGCGGUAAUACGUAGGGUGCGAGCGUUAAUCGGAAUUACUGGGCGUAAAGCGUGCGCAGGCGGUUAUAUAAGACAGAUGUGAAAUCCCCGGGCUCAACCUGGGACCUGCAUUUGUGACUGUAUAGCUAGAGUACGGUAGAGGGGGAUGGAAUUCCGCGUGUAGCAGUGAAAUGCGUAGAUAUGCGGAGGAACACCGAUGGCGAAGGCAAUCCCCCUGGACCUGUACUGACGCUCAUGCACGAAAGCGUGGGGAGCAAACAGGAUUAGAUACCCUGGUAGUCCACGCCCUAAACGAUGUCAACUGGUUGUUGGGUCUUCACUGACUCAGUACGAAGCUAACGCGUGAAGUUGACCGCCUGGGGAGUACGGCGCAGGUUGAAACUCAAAGGAUUGACGGCGNGAGACGNGACGACGGACGACGACGAGGGAGGAGG